ACUCAAAGGAAUAGACGGGGGCCCGCACAAGCGGUGGAGCAUGGGGUUUAAUUCGUCACUAACCGAAGAACCUUACCCAGGCUUGACAUCCCCUGACAUCCGGUGAAAGCCGGCUUCCCCCGCGAGGGGGCAGGGAGACAGGUGUUGCAUGGCUGUCGUCAGCUCGUGUCGUGAGAUGUUGGGUUAAGUCCCGCAACGAGCGCAACCCUCACUGUGUGUUGCCAGCCGAAAGGCGCACUCACACGGAACUGCCGGGGCAACCCGGAGGAAGGCGGGGACGACGUCAAGUCGGCAUGGCCCUUACGCCUGGGGCUACACCCAUGCUACAAUGGGGCGGACAGAGGGCCGCAAUACCGCAAGGUGGAGCCAAUCCCAAAAACCGCCCCCCAGUUGGGAUCGGGGCCUGCAACUCGGCCCCGUGAACGUGGAAUCGCUAGUAAACGCCGGUCAGCCAAACGGCGUUGAAUCCGUUCCCGGGCCUUGUACACACCGCCCGU
Molecule: ribosomal RNA, 497 nt
Filed under: uncultured bacterium
Lineage: Bacteria
Description: partial 16S ribosomal RNA
Rfam family: Bacterial small subunit ribosomal RNA
Source: RNAcentral